This 449-nucleotide ribosomal RNA is filed under the name uncultured bacterium. RNAcentral's name for it is "bacterial SSU rRNA". It matches the Rfam family "Bacterial small subunit ribosomal RNA", at positions 354 to 796 of the family's 1533-position model. The record is from RNAcentral.
GUGGGGAAUCUUGCGCAAUGGGCGAAAGCCUGACGCAGCGACGCCGCGUGAGUGAUGAAGGCCUUCGGGUUGUAAAGCUCUGUGGAGGGGGACGAAUAAGUCGGAGUUAACAGCUCCGAUGAUGACGGUACCCCUUUAGCAAGCACCGGCUAACUCUGUGCCAGCAGCCGCGGUAAGACAGAGGGUGCAAACGUUGUUCGGAAUUACUGGGCGUAAAGCGCGUGUAGGUGGCCAGGCAAGUCGGGUGUGAAAGCCCCGGGCUCAACCCGGGAAGUGCACUCGAAACUGCUUGGCUCGAGUGCCGGAGAGGGAAGCGGAAUUCUCGGUGUAGAGGUGAAAUUCGUAGAUAUCGAGAGGAACACCAGUGGCGAAGGCGGCUUCCUGGACGGCUACUGACGCUGAGACGCGAAAGCGUGGGGAGCAAACAGGAUUAGAUACCCCGGUAGUCC